Cyanistes caeruleus (blue tit) is the source of this 362-nucleotide non-coding RNA. NCBI's taxonomy places the organism in Eukaryota, Metazoa, Chordata, Aves, Passeriformes, Paridae. The record is from RefSeq and is a predicted model, not a curated record.
UUAUUGCCAAGACACCUCUUCAACCUGCAGGUAUUUUAAACUGCUUAGAGGCCCCAGAUGUGGUCAGCUGUCCUAAAAAGAUGACAUCCACCAGCCUGUGCACAGAACCCUGAGUUUGCAGGUCACAUCUAGGUCCCAUUACAGAGAGGAGUGAGCCCCUUUUCCUUGUCACAGCACUUGGGGACAUCAGUGUCCACGUCACCUUGAGGGGCAGGAGGAGCCCAGGUCUGCACACACCUGUUAGCCCUGCUCACCCCAGGAACAGCUCAUGGAGACACUGGGCUUGGGAGGAGAGUUGCCAGAUUGUCAGCCUUACACACCCAGAUUAGAAAAAUGAGCAAAUAAAGUGGCUUUAAAAUUUG